AGAGUUUGAUCAUGGCUCAGAACGAACGCUGGCGGCAGGCUUCACACAUGCAAGUCGCGCGAUUAAAGCCCCUUCGGGGGUGUAUAGAGCGGCGAACGGGUGCGUAACAGGUGGAUAAUCUACCCCCCGGCGGGGGAUAACGGCUGGAAACGGCCGCUAAUACCGCGUACGGUUGCGAGGAUCUCGGUCCUUGCAAAGAAAGGCGCUUCACGGCGUCGCCGGAGGAUGAGUCCGCCUCCCAUUAGCUAGUUGGUGAGAUAACAGCCCACCAAGGCAACGAUGGGUAGCCGAGCUGAGAGGUUGAUCGGCCACACUGGAACUGAGACACGGUCCAGACACCUACGGGUGGCAGCAGUGGGGAAUAUUGGACAAUGGGCGCAAGCCUGAUCCAGCCAUGCCGCGUGGGGGAUGAAGGCCUUCGGGUCGUAAACCCCUUUUCUGAGAGAAGAACAGCCUGCGUAGGAAAUGACGUGGGUUUGACGGUAUCUCAGGAAUAAGCAACGGCCAACUCCGUGCCAGCAGCCGCGGUAAUACGGAGGUUGCAAGCGUUGUUCGGAAUUACUGGGCGUAAAGGGAGCGCAGGCGGUCGGGUAAGUCUGAAGUGGAAGCCCGGGGCUCAACCCCGGAAGUGCUUUGGAUACUGCCUGACUUGAGUACGCGAGAGGAAAGCGGAAUUCCAGGUGUAGCGGUGAAAUGCGUAGAUAUCUGGAGGAACACCGGUGGCGAAAGCGGCUUUCUGGCGCGUUACUGACGCUGAGGCUCGAAAGCGUGGGGAGCAAACGGGAUUAGAUACCCCGGUAGUCCACGCCGUAAACGUUGUGCACUAGGUGUGGGAGGUAUCGACCCCUUUCCGUGCCGCAGCUAACGCAUUAGUGCACGCCUGGGGAGUACGUCGCAGACUGAAACUCAAAGGAAUUGACGG
Molecule: ribosomal RNA, 922 nt
Filed under: uncultured bacterium
Lineage: Bacteria
Description: bacterial SSU rRNA
Rfam family: Bacterial small subunit ribosomal RNA
Source: RNAcentral